This 422-nucleotide ribosomal RNA is filed under the name uncultured bacterium. Its description in RNAcentral is "partial 16S ribosomal RNA". It matches the Rfam family "Bacterial small subunit ribosomal RNA", at positions 360 to 774 of the family's 1533-position model. The record is from RNAcentral.
AAUCUUCCGCAAUGGACGCAAGUCUGACGGAGCAACGCCGCGUGUGUGAUGACGGUUUCCGGAUCGUAAAACUCUGCUGUCAGGGACGAACAAGUCUCGGAGCGACUGCCGCUACCCUGACGGUACCUGCCGAGACAGACACGGCAAAUCACGUCCGAUACGCCGCGGUAAUACGUAGGUGGCAAGCGUUGUCCGGAUUUAUUGGGCGUAAAGCGCGCGCAGGCGGUCUUUUAAGUCUGAUGUGAAAUCUUACAGCUUAACUGUAAGCGGUCAUUGGAAACUGGGAGACUUGAGUGCAGGAGAGGAGAGUGGAAUUCCAUGUGUAGCGGUGAAAUGCGUAGAGAUAUGGAGGAACGCCAGUGGCGAGGGCGACUCUCUGGUCUGCAACUGACGCUGAGGCGCGAAAGCGUGGGGAUCAAACA